GGAAGGGUGGCCGAGUGGUUGAAAGUGUAGCACUGGAAAUGCUAUGUAGACUCUUGUUUCCCGAGGGUUCGAAUCCCUCCCCUUCCU
Molecule: transfer RNA, 87 nt
Filed under: Haplopteris ensiformis
Lineage: Eukaryota; Viridiplantae; Streptophyta; Polypodiopsida; Polypodiales; Pteridaceae
Description: tRNA-Ser
Rfam family: tRNA
About the family: Transfer RNA (tRNA) molecules are approximately 80 nucleotides in length. Their secondary structure includes four short double-helical elements and three loops (D, anti-codon, and T loops).
Source: RNAcentral